This 75-nucleotide transfer RNA is filed under the name Escherichia coli. Its description in RNAcentral is "tRNA-Thr(ggt)". It matches the Rfam family "tRNA". From Rfam's summary of the family: Transfer RNA (tRNA) molecules are approximately 80 nucleotides in length. The record is from RNAcentral. Lineage: Bacteria; Pseudomonadati; Pseudomonadota; Gammaproteobacteria; Enterobacterales; Enterobacteriaceae. RNAcentral also lists the same sequence under 6 other names.
GCUGAUAUGGCUCAGUUGGUAGAGCGCACCCUUGGUAAGGGUGAGGUCCCAGUUCGACUCUGGGUAUCAGCACCA